Molecule: ribosomal RNA, 812 nt
Filed under: Salmonella enterica subsp. enterica serovar Paratyphi B
Lineage: Bacteria; Pseudomonadati; Pseudomonadota; Gammaproteobacteria; Enterobacterales; Enterobacteriaceae
Description: bacterial LSU rRNA
Rfam family: Bacterial large subunit ribosomal RNA
Source: RNAcentral
GGGUUGUGAGGUUAAGCGACUAAGCGUACACGGUGGAUGCCCUGGCAGUCAGAGGCGAUGAAGGACGUGCUAAUCUGCGAUAAGCGUCGGUAAGGUGAUAUGAACCGUUAUAACCGGCGAUUUCCGAAUGGGGAAACCCAGUGUGAUUCGUCACACUAUCAUUACGUGAAUACAUAGCGUAAUGAAGCGAACCGGGGGAACUGAAACAUCUAAGUACCCCGAGGAAAAGAAAUCAACCGAGAUUCCCCCAGUAGCGGCGAGCGAACGGGGAGGAGCCCAGAGCCUGAAUCAGCAUGUGUGUUAGUGGAAGCGUCUGGAAAGUCGCGCGAUACAGGGUGACAGCCCCGUACACAAAAGCGCAUGUGCUGUGAGCUCGAUGAGUAGGGCGGGACACGUGGUAUCCUGUCUGAAUAUGGGGGGACCAUCCUCCAAGGCUAAAUACUCCUGACUGACCGAUAGUGAACCAGUACCGUGAGGGAAAGGCGAAAAGAACCCCGGCGAGGGGAGUGAAACAGAACCUGAAACCGUGUACGUACAAGCAGUGGGAGCACAGGUUUACCUGUGUGACUGCGUACCUUUUGUAUAAUGGGUCAGCGACUUAUAUUCUGUAGCAAGGUUAACCGAAUAGGGGAGCCGGAGGGAAACCGAGUCUUAAUUGGGCGUUAAGUUGCAGGGUAUAGACCCGAAACCCGGUGAUCUAGCCAUGGGCAGGUUGAAGGUUGGGUAACACUAACUGGAGGACCGAACCGACUAAUGUUGAAAAAUUAGCGGAUGACCUGUGGCUGGGGGUGAAAGGCCAAUCAAACCGGGAG